RNAcentral lists this ribosomal RNA (951 nucleotides) under Cellulomonas pakistanensis. RNAcentral describes it as "bacterial SSU rRNA". It matches the Rfam family "Bacterial small subunit ribosomal RNA", at positions 45 to 1006 of the family's 1533-position model. Lineage: Bacteria; Bacillati; Actinomycetota; Actinomycetes; Micrococcales; Cellulomonadaceae. The record is from RNAcentral.
UGCUUACACAUGCAAGUCGAACGGUGAAGCCCAGCUUGCUGGGUGGAUCAGUGGCGAACGGGUGAGUAACACGUGAGUAACCUGCCCCUGACUCUGGGAUAAGCCUUGGAAACGAGGUCUAAUACCGGAUACGUGACGCUCAGGCAUCUGAUGCGUCUGGAAAGAUUUAUCGGUCAGGGAUGGACUCGCGGCCUAUCAGCUUGUUGGUGGGGUAACGGCCCACCAAGGCGACGACGGGUAGCCGGCCUGAGAGGGCGACCGGCCACACUGGGACUGAGACACGGCCCAGACUCCUACGGGAGGCAGCAGUGGGGAAUAUUGCACAAUGGGCGCAAGCCUGAUGCAGCGACGCCGCGUGAGGGAUGAAGGCCUUCGGGUUGUAAACCUCUUUCAGCAGGGAAGAAGCGCAAGUGACGGUACCUGCAGAAGAAGCGCCGGCUAACUACGUGCCAGCAGCCGCGGUAAUACGUAGGGCGCAAGCGUUGUCCGGAAUUAUUGGGCGUAAAGAGCUCGUAGGCGGUCUGUCGCGUCUGCUGUGAAAACUCGAGGCUCAACCUCGGGCUUGCAGUGGGUACGGGCAGACUAGAGUGCGGUAGGGGAGACUGGAAUUCCUGGUGUAGCGGUGGAAUGCGCAGAUAUCAGGAGGAACACCGAUGGCGAAGGCAGGUCUCUGGGCCGCAACUGACGCUGAGGAGCGAAAGCAUGGGGAGCGAACAGGAUUAGAUACCCUGGUAGUCCAUGCCGUAAACGUUGGGCACUAGGUGUGGGGCUCAUUCCACGAGUUCCGUGCCGCAGCAAACGCAUUAAGUGCCCCGCCUGGGGAGUACGGCCGCAAGGCUAAAACUCAAAGAAAUUGACGGGGGCCCGCACAAGCGGCGGAGCAUGCGGAUUAAUUCGAUGCAACGCGAAGAACCUUACCAAGGCUUGACAUACACCGGAAACUUCCAGAGA